This 407-nucleotide ribosomal RNA is filed under the name uncultured bacterium. RNAcentral describes it as "partial 16S ribosomal RNA". It matches the Rfam family "Bacterial small subunit ribosomal RNA", at positions 30 to 526 of the family's 1533-position model. The record is from RNAcentral.
AUUGAACGCUAGCGGGAUGCUUUACACAUGCAAGUCGAACGGAGGGGCAGACGGGUGAGAAAUAUAUCUAAACGGGCCCAGUAGCGGGGGAUAACUACGCGAAAGAGUGGCUAAUCCCGCAUACUAUGGGAGCGGCCGCUAUCGGAUUAGCUAGUUGGGGGGGGAAAGGCUCAACAAGGCAACGAUCCGGAGCUGGUUUGAGAGGAUGACCAGCUAAACUGGGACUGAGAAACGGCCCAGACUCCUACGGGAGGCAGCAGUGGGGAAUUGUGGACAAUGGGGGAAACCCUGAUCCAGUCAUCCCGCGUGUAUGAUGAAGGCCUGCGGGUUGUAAAGUACUUUUGGCAGAGAAGCGGUAUCUGCAGAAGAAGCACCGGCUAACUACGUGCCAGCAGCCGCGGUAAUUC